RNAcentral lists this ribosomal RNA (1123 nucleotides) under uncultured bacterium. RNAcentral describes it as "bacterial SSU rRNA". It matches the Rfam family "Bacterial small subunit ribosomal RNA", at positions 47 to 1162 of the family's 1533-position model. The record is from RNAcentral.
AUUGAUUUUAUGCUUGCAUAAAUGAUUUUUGGAUUCGGAGCGAGUGGCGAACUGGUGAGUAACACGUGGGUAACCUGCCCCGAAGCGGGGGAUAACAUUUGGAAACAAGUGCUAAUACCGCAUAAUUAGUUGGAACCGCAUGGUUCCAACUUGAAAGAUGGCUCUGCUAUCACUUUGGGAUGGACCCGCGCCGUAUUAGUUAGUUGGUGAGAUAAAAGCCCACCAAGACGAUGAUACGUAGCCGACCUGAGAGGGUAAUCGGCCACAUUGGGACUGAGACACGGCCCAGACUCCUACGGGAGGCAGCAGUAGGGAAUCUUCCACAAUGGACGAAAGUCUGAUGGAGCAACGCCGCGUGAGUGAUGAAGGUUUUCGGAUCGUAAAACUCUGUUGCUAAAGAAGAACAAGUGUUAGAGUAACUGUUAACACUUUGACGGUAUUUAACCAGAAAGCCACGGCUAACUACGUGCCAGCAGCCGCGGUAAUACGUAGGUGGCAAGCGUUGUCCGGAUUUAUUGGGCGUAAAGCGAGCGCAGGCGGUUUUGUAAGUCUGCUGUGAAAGCCCUCAGCUCAACUGAGGAAGUGCAGUGGAAACUACAAAACUUGAGUACAGAAGAGGAAAGUGGAACUCCAUGUGUAGCGGUGAAAUGCGUAGAUAUAUGGAAGAACACCAGUGGCGAAGGCGGCCUUCUGGUCUGUUACUGACGCUGAGGCUCGAAAGCAUGGGUAGCGAACAGGAUUAGAUACCCUGGUAGUCCAUGCCGUAAACGAUGAAUACUAGGUGUUGGAGGGUUUCCGCCCUUCAGUGCCGCAGCUAACGCAUUAAGUAUUCCGCCUGGGGAGUACGACCGCAAGGUUGAAACUCAAAGGAAUUGACGGGGGCCCGCACAAGUGGUGGAGCAUGUGGUUUAAUUCGAUGCUACGCGAAGAACCUUACCAGCUCUUGACAUCUUCUGCCAACCCAAGAGAUUGGGCGUUCCCUUCGGGGACAGAAUGACAGGUGGUGCAUGGUUGUCGUCAGCUCGUGUCGUGAGAUGUUGGGUUAAGUCCCGCAACGAGCGCAACCCUUAUUAUUAGUUGCCAGCAUUUAGUUGGGCACUCUAGUGAGACUGCCGGUGAUAAA